UGGGGAAUUUUGGACAAUGGGGGAAACCCUGAUCCAGCCAUCCCGCGUGUGCGAUGAAGGCCUUCGGGUUGUAAAGCACUUUUGGCAGGAAAGAAACGUCAUGGGUUAAUACCCCGUGAAACUGACGGUACCUGCAGAAUAAGCACCGGCUAACUACGUGCCAGCAGCCGCGGUAAUACGUAGGGUGCAAGCGUUAAUCGGAAUUACUGGGCGUAAAGCGUGCGCAGGCGGUUCGGAAAGAAAGAUGUGAAAUCCCAGAGCUCAACUUUGGAACAGCAUUUUUAACUACCGGGCUAGAGUGUGUCAGAGGGAGGUGGAAUUCCGCGUGUAGCAGUGAAAUGCGUAGAUAUGCGGAGGAACACCGAUGGCGAAGGCAGCCUCCUGGGAUAACACUGACGCUCAUGCACGAAAGCGUGGGGAGCAAACAGG
Molecule: ribosomal RNA, 429 nt
Filed under: Acidobacteriota bacterium
Lineage: Bacteria; Pseudomonadati; Acidobacteriota
Description: Acidobacteria bacterium partial 16S ribosomal RNA
Rfam family: Bacterial small subunit ribosomal RNA
Source: RNAcentral